This 460-nucleotide ribosomal RNA is filed under the name uncultured bacterium. RNAcentral describes it as "partial 16S ribosomal RNA". It matches the Rfam family "Bacterial small subunit ribosomal RNA", at positions 338 to 795 of the family's 1533-position model. The record is from RNAcentral.
CCUACGGGAGGCAGCAGUGAGGAAUAUUGGUCAAUGGACGAGAGUCUGAACCAGCCAAGUAGCGUGAAGGAUGACUGCCCUAUGGGUUGUAAACUUCUUUUAUAAAGGAAUAAAACGAGGCACGUGUGCCUUUUUGCAUGUACUUUAUGAAUAAGGAUCGGCUAACUCCGUGCCAGCAGCCGCGGUAAUACGGAGGAUCCGAGCGUUAUCCGGAUUUAUUGGGUUUAAAGGGAGCGUAGAUGGGUUGUUAAGUCAGUUGUGAAAGGUUGCGGCUCAACCGUAAAAUUGCAAUUGAUACUGGCAGUCUUGAGUACAGGUGAGGUAGGCGGAAUGCGUGGUGUAGCGGUGAAAUGCAUAGAUAUCACGAAGAACCCCGAUUGCGAAGGCAGCUUACUAAACUGUGACUGACAUUGAGGCUCGAAAGUGUGGGUAUCAAACAGGAUUAGAUACCCGAGUAGUC